This 416-nucleotide ribosomal RNA is filed under the name uncultured bacterium. RNAcentral's name for it is "bacterial SSU rRNA". It matches the Rfam family "Bacterial small subunit ribosomal RNA", at positions 29 to 448 of the family's 1533-position model. The record is from RNAcentral.
AUUGAACGCUGGCGGAAUGCUUUACACAUGCAAGUCGAGCGGCAGCGCGGGGGCAACCCUGGCGGCGAGCGGUGAACGGGUGAGUAACAUAUCGGAACGUACCCCGUCGUGGGGGAUAACACAGCGAAAGCUGUGCUAAUACCGCAUACGACCUGAGGGUGAAAGCGGGGGAUCGCAAGACCUCGCGCGAUGGGAGCGGCCGAUAUCGGAUUAGCUUGUUGGUGAGGUAAAGGCUCACCAAGGCGACGAUCCGUAGCUGGUCUGAGAGGACGACCAGCCACACUGGAACUGAGACACGGUCCAGACUCCUACGGGAGGCAGCAGUGGGGAAUUUUGGACAAUGGGGGCAACCCUGAUCCAGCCAUUCCGCGUGAGUGAAGAAGGCCUCGGUUGUAAAGCUCUUUCUAGCAGGAACG